Molecule: ribosomal RNA, 364 nt
Filed under: uncultured eukaryote
Lineage: Eukaryota
Description: partial 18S ribosomal RNA
Rfam family: Eukaryotic small subunit ribosomal RNA
Source: RNAcentral
CAAAAGCGUAUAUUAAAGUUGUUGCAGUUAAAAAGCUCGUAGUUGAACCUUGGGCUUGGCUGGCCGGUCCAUCUUUUUUGAUGCGUACUGGACCCAGCCGAGCCUUUCCUUCUGGCUAGCCUUUUGGCGAACCAGGACUUUUACUUUGAAAAAAUUAGAGUGUUCAAAGCAGGCCUUUGCUCGAAUAUAUUAGCAUGGAAUAAUAGAAUAGGACGUUAUGGUUCUAUUUUGUUGGUUUCUAGGACCAUCGUAAUGAUUAAUAGGGACGGUCGGGGGUAUCAGUAUUCAGUUGUCAGAGGUGAAAUUCUUGGACUUACUGAAGACUAACUACUGCGAAAGCAUUUACCAAGGACGUUUUCAUUAA